This 459-nucleotide ribosomal RNA is filed under the name uncultured bacterium. Its description in RNAcentral is "SSU rRNA". It matches the Rfam family "Bacterial small subunit ribosomal RNA", at positions 26 to 518 of the family's 1533-position model. The record is from RNAcentral.
AGAAUCAACGCUGGCGGCGUGCCUAACACAUGCAAGUCGAACGAGAAAGUGGAGCAAUCCAUGAGUAAAGUGGCGCACGGGUGAGUAACACGUGACUAACCUACCCUUGAGUGGGGGAUAACCUAGAGAAAUCUGGGCUAAUACCGCAUAAUACCUUCGGGUCAAAGGAGCAAUUCGCUUAAGGAGGGGGUCGCGGCCGAUUAGUUAGUUGGCGGGGUAAUGGCCCACCAAGACUGUGAUCGGUAUCCGGCCUGAGAGGGCGCACGGACACACUGGAACUGAAACACGGUCCAGACUCCUACGGGAGGCAGCAGUGGGGAAUUUGCGCAAUGGGGGAAACCCUGACGCAGCAACGCCGCGUGGAGGAUGAAGCCCCUUGGGGCGUAAACUCCUUUCGAUCGGGAAGAUAAUGACGGUACCGAGAGAAGAAGCCCCGGCUAACUUCGUGCCAGCAGCCGC